UACGUAGGGCGCAAGCGUUGUCCGGAAUUAUUGGGCGUAAAGAGCUCGUAGGCGGUUUGUCGCGUCGGCUGUGAAAACCUGAGGCUCAACCUCAGGCCUGCAGUCGAUACGAGCAGACUAGAGUGUUGCAGGGGAGACUGGAAUUCCUGGUGUAGCGGUGGAAUGCGCAGAUAUCAGGAGGAACACCAAUAGCGAAGGCAGCUCGCUGGGACGGUACUGACGCUAAGGCGCGAAAGCGUGGGGAGCGAACAGG
This 253-nucleotide ribosomal RNA is filed under the name uncultured bacterium. Its description in RNAcentral is "partial 16S ribosomal RNA". It matches the Rfam family "Bacterial small subunit ribosomal RNA", at positions 524 to 776 of the family's 1533-position model. The record is from RNAcentral.